Molecule: ribosomal RNA, 747 nt
Filed under: Trichopoda pennipes
Lineage: Eukaryota; Metazoa; Arthropoda; Insecta; Diptera; Tachinidae
Description: SSU rRNA
Rfam family: Eukaryotic small subunit ribosomal RNA
Source: RNAcentral
CCCUGUAAUUGGAAUGAGUACACUUUAAAUCCUUUAACAAGGACCUAUUGGAGGGCAAGUCUGGUGCCAGCAGCCGCGGUAACUCCAGCUCCAAUAGCGUAUAUUAAAGUUGUUGCGGUUAAAACGUUCGUAGUUGAAAUUGUGCUUCAUGCGGGUAGUACAACUAUAAUUGUAGUUUGUACUGUACCUUAUGUAUGUAAGCGUAUUACCGGUGGAGUUCUUAUGUGUGUUAAAUACUCGUAUUUUUCACAUAUUCCUCCUAUUUAAACCUGCUUCAGUGCUCUUCAUCGAGUGUUGUUGUGGGCCGGUACAAUUACUUUGAACAAAUUAGAGUGCUUAAAGCAGGCUCCAAAUGCCUGAAUAUUUUGUGCAUGGAAUAAUGAAAUAAGACCCCUGUUCUACUUUCAUUGGUUUUUAGAUCAAGAGGUAAUGAUUAAUAGAAGCAGUUUGGGGGCAUUAGUAUUACGACGCGAGAGGUGAAAUUCUUGGACCGUCGUAAGACUAACUUAAGCGAAAGCAUUUGCCAAAGAUGUUUUCAUUAAUCAAGAACGAAAGUUAGAGGUUCGAAGGCGAUCAGAUACCGCCCUAGUUCUAACCAUAAACGAUGCCAGCUAGCAAUUGGGUGUAGCUACUAUCAUGGCUCUCUCAGUCGCUUCCCGGGAAACCAAAGCUUUUGGGCUCCGGGGGAAGUAUGGUUGCAAAGCUGAAACUUAAAGGAAUUGACGGAAGGGCACCACCAGGAGUGGA